UACGUAGGGUGCGAGCGUUGUCCGGAAUUAUUGGGCGUAAAGAGCUCGUAGGCGGUGUGUCGCGUCGGCCGUGAAAACCUGCAGCUUAACUGUGGCUUGCGGUCGAUACGGCAUCACUGGAGUUCGGCAGGGGAGACUGGAAUUCCUGGUGGUAGCGGUGAAAUGCGCAGAUAUCAGGAGGAACACCGGUGGCGAAGGCGGGUCUCUGGGCCGAUACUGACGCUGAGGAGCGAAAGCGUGGGAGCAAACAGG
Molecule: ribosomal RNA, 252 nt
Filed under: uncultured bacterium
Lineage: Bacteria
Description: partial 16S ribosomal RNA
Rfam family: Bacterial small subunit ribosomal RNA
Source: RNAcentral